This 2030-nucleotide long non-coding RNA is filed under the name Homo sapiens (human). RNAcentral describes it as "HSALNT0000308". The record is from RNAcentral. Lineage: Eukaryota; Metazoa; Chordata; Mammalia; Primates; Hominidae.
AUUUUUUCCCCACCUGAGUUACAAAUUUUUUUUUUUUGAAACAGUCUCGCUCUGUCACCCAGGCUGGAGUGCAGUGGUGCGAUCUUGGCUCACUGCCAGCUCCACCUCUAGGGUUUUUAAGCAAUUCUCUGCCCCAGCCGCCCGAGUAGCUGGGAUUACAGGUGUGCACCACCACGCCCAGCUAAUUUUUUAAACUUUUAGUAGAGAUGGGGUUUCACCAUGCUGGCCAGGAUAGUCUUGAACUCCUGUCCUUCUGAUCCACCCACCUCGACCUCCCAAAGUGCAGGGAUUACAUGUGUGAGCCACUGCGCCUGGCCCCAGCCUGGAAAUAUUUUCUAAUUUCCCAUUUGAGUUCUUCUUUGACCCAUGGUUUAUUCAAUAGUGGGUUAAUUUCCAAACAUUUGAGUUUUUCCUAUUUUAUUUGUGGUUGAUUUCUAAUUUAAUUCCUCUGUGCUCAGAAAGCAUACUUUGUAUGAUUCUUUUAAAAUUCGUUGGAACUUGUUUUAGGACACAGCAGUUGGUCUGUGUUGGAAAAUGUAUCAUGUGCACUUAGGAGUAUUGGCGUAACUUUUUCUUUUUGUUUUUGAGAAGAGUUUUGCUCUUCUUGCCCAGGCUGGGGUGCAGUGGCACGAUCUCGGGUCACUCCGUCUUUUGGGUUCACACCAUUCUCCUGCCUCAGCCUCCCGAGGAGCUGGGAUUACAGCUGCCCGCCACCACGUCCAGCGAAUUUUUGUAUUUUUAGUAUAGAUGGGGUUUCGCCAUGUUGGCUAGGUCGGUCCUGAACUUCUGACCUCAGGUGAUCCACCCGACUCGGGCUCCCAAAGUGCCUGGAUUACAAGCUUGAGCCCCCAUGUGCAGCCUGAUAUGUGUAACUUCCUAUAAAUACCAUUCAGGUCAACAUGAUGAUACUGUUACUCAGAUCCCCCAUGUCUUCACUGAUGUGUUUGGUUUAUUGUUCCAAGAAUCGGAGACAGAGAGGUUAAAAUCUCCGACUAUGAUUGUGGGUUGUCUAUUGAUGUUUUUGGUCUAUUCUAAGAAUCGGAGAGAGAGAGGUUAAAAUCUCUGACGAUGAUUGUGGAUUGUCUAUUGAUGUUUUUGGUCUAUUAUUCUAAGAAUCGGAGAGAGAUUAAAAUCUCCAACUAUGAUUGUGGGUUGUCUAUUGAUGUUUUUGGUCUAUUGUUCUAAGAAUCAGAGAGAGAGAGAGGUUAAAAUCUCCGACUAUGAUUGUGGGUUGUCUUAUUGAUGUUUUUGGUCUAUUGUUCUAAGAAUUGGAGACAGAGAGGUUAAAAUCUCCGACUAUGAUUGUGGGUUGUCUAUUGAUGUUUUUGGUCUAUUGUUCUAAGAAUUGGAGAGAGAGAGGUUAAAAUCUCCUACUAUGAUUCUGGGUUGUCUAUUGAUGUUUUUGGUCUAUUGUUCUAAGAAUUGGAGAGAGAGAGGUUAAAAUCUCCAACUAUGAUUGUGGGUUGUCUAUAUAUGUAUGGUUUUUGCAGUCACUUUCUGCCUACUUGUGUUUUUUAUAUUUAAAGUGCAUCUUUUAGUUCAGUGUGAUGGCACAUGCCCCUAAUCCCAGCUAUUCUGGAGACUGAGGCAGGAGGAUCACUUGAGCCCAGGAGUUUGAGCAGUACUAGACUUUACCUUGGGCAAAAAGGCAAGACCCCAUCUCUUAAAAAACAAAUACAUAGACGGACAGACAGACACACACACCACAGUGCAUCUUUUGUAGACAGCAUGUAGUAAAUCUUGCUAAUUUGUCCAUUUUAGCAAUCUCUGCCUUUUAACUGGAGGGUUUAAUUCAUUAAUAUUUAAUAUAAUUAUCAUUAUGGGUAGAUGUAGGUAUGUUAAUAUUUAAUAUAAUUACUGUUAUGGGUAGAUGUAGGUAUGUUAAUCGUUUUCUGAUUGUCCCUUUGUAUACACACGCUGCCCUUUAUUUUUCAGUGAUUUUAGGUUCAUAGCAAAAUUGAGCAGUUAAGUACAAGGAGUUGUGCCUCCCCGCUGUGCCCACCCAGGCACAGCCUUACCCUCAGCAUCCC